GAUGAACGCUGGCGGCGUGCCUAAUACAUGCAAGUCGAGCGAACGGACGAGAAGCUUGCUUUUCUGAUGUUAGCGGCGGACGGGUGAGUAACACGUGGAUAACCUACCUAUAAGACUGGGAUAACUUCGGGAAACCGGAUCUAAUACCGGAUAAUAUUUUGAACCGCAUGGUUCAAAAGUGAAAGACGGUCUUGCUGCCACUUAUAGAUGGAUCCGCGCUGCAUUAGCUAGUUGGUAAGGUAACGGCUUACCAAGGCAACGAUGCAUAGCCGACCUGAGAGGGUGAUCGGCAACACUGGAACUGAGACACGGUCCAGACUCCUACGGGAGGCAGCAGUAGGGAAUCUUCCGAAAUGGGCGAAAGCUUGACGGAGCAACGCCGCGUGAGUGAUGAAGGUCUUCGGAUCGUAAAACUCUGUUAUUAGGGAAGACCAUAUGUGUAAGUAAAUGUGCACAUCUUGACGGUACCUAAUCAGAAAGCCACGGCUAACUACGUG
This 497-nucleotide ribosomal RNA is filed under the name uncultured bacterium. RNAcentral's name for it is "partial 16S ribosomal RNA". It matches the Rfam family "Bacterial small subunit ribosomal RNA", at positions 28 to 507 of the family's 1533-position model. The record is from RNAcentral.